This 253-nucleotide ribosomal RNA is filed under the name uncultured bacterium. RNAcentral describes it as "partial 16S ribosomal RNA". It matches the Rfam family "Bacterial small subunit ribosomal RNA", at positions 524 to 776 of the family's 1533-position model. The record is from RNAcentral.
UACGAAGGGUGCAAGCGUUACUCGGAAUUACUGGGCGUAAAGCGUGCGUAGGCGGGUCUUUAAGUCAGGGGUGAAAUCCUGGAGCUCAACUCCAGAACUGCCUUUGAUACUGAAGAUCUUGAGUUCGGGAGAGGUGAGUGGAACUGCGAGUGUAGAGGUGAAAUUCGUAGAUAUUCGCAAGAACACCAGUGGCGAAGGCGGCUCACUGGCCCGAUACUGACGCUGAGGCACGAAAGCUAGGGGAGCAAACAGG